RNAcentral lists this ribosomal RNA (470 nucleotides) under uncultured Anoxybacillus sp. RNAcentral's name for it is "bacterial SSU rRNA". It matches the Rfam family "Bacterial small subunit ribosomal RNA", at positions 916 to 1381 of the family's 1533-position model. Lineage: Bacteria; Bacillati; Bacillota; Bacilli; Caryophanales; Anoxybacillaceae. The record is from RNAcentral.
ACGGGGCCCGCACAAGCGGUGGAGCAUGUGGUUAAUUCGAAGCAACGCGAAGAACCUUACCAGGUCUUGACAUCCCCUGACAACCCGAGAGAUCGGGCGUUCCCCCUUCGGGGGGACAGGGUGACAGGUGGUGCAUGGUUGUCGUCAGCUCGUGUCGUGAGAUGUUGGGUUAAGUCCCGCAACGAGCGCAACCCUCGACCUUAGUUGCCAGCAUUCAGUUGGGCACUCUAAGGUGACUGCCGGCUAAAAGUCGGAGGAAGGUGGGGAUGACGUCAAAUCAUCAUGCCCCUUAUGACCUGGGCUACACACGUGCUACAAUGGGCGGUACAAAGGGUCGCGAACCCGCGAGGGGGAGCCAAUCCCAAAAAGCCGCUCUCAGUUCGGAUUGCAGGCUGCAACUCGCCUGCAUGAAGCCGGAAUCGCUAGUAAUCGUGGAUCAGCAUGUCACGGUGAAUACGUUCCCGGGUCUU